GAAGUCGCCCAAACAAUAAAAUGCAAAAUGGCUCCAUAGCGCCCCCUAAGGUGAAAAUUCACACUAUUGACUGUCACGCCUUUACGCUUUGGCAAAAUGACACAAAAAUUGACACACACAUGUAUCUCAAUAAGAUCUACGAAAAAGUCAGUGCGGGCGUAUCUGUCAAAAUUACGGUUAAAGGGUUAUUUCGCAUUUUUUGCCGAUCCACACACAUCGGAAUUUCGCUAACUCCUCUGAAGACUUUCGUUCCAUCGGCACAACAUUUGCUCAGGUCAAUCUACACCCCAUGGCCAUUAAAAGUUAUUCAAAUCAUGACGCUGCACCCCACGGUUUAGGUUCUAGGGGGCGCCAAAGAUAACCCUAAAAUCCACAUAUUUAAAAGUCUUAUAACUUUUUAUUUUUGUCCCCACUGGCCUCUAAGUUUUCUAGGAUGAUGCAAUGUCCAGCCAUCAACACAUUUGUGAAGGAAUUUUUACUCCCCAAAAGAGCGCCCCCCCAUGGCAGGAGAAAAAAGUCAAUUUUUUCUUGUCCACUAAGGUGAAAAUACACAUUGUUGAGUGCUUCGCCUGUAUGUUUUGUCAUAUUGACACAAAAUUUGACAAUCACGUGUAUCUCAAUAAGAUCUACGAAAAAGUCAAUGCGCGCGUAUCUGUAAAAUGUACGGUUAAAGGGCAAUUUCGCAUUUUUUGCCGAUCCGCACACAUUGGAAUUUCGCUAACUCCUCCGAAGGCUUUCAUUCCACCGGCAACACAUUUGCUCAGGCCAAUCUACACCCCAUGGCCAUUAAAAGUUAUUCAAAUCAUGAAGCUGCACCCCACGGUUUAGGUUCUAGGGGGCGCCAAAAAUAACCCUAAAAUCCACAUAUUUAAAAGUCUUAUAACUUUUUAUUUUUGUCCUCACUGGCCUCCAAGUUUUCUAGGAUGAUGCAAUGUCCAGCCAUCAACACAUCUGUGAAGGAAUUUUUACUCCCCAAAAGAGCGCCCCCCCAUGGCAGGAGAAAAAAGUCCAUUUUUUCUUGUCCCCUAAGGUGAAAAUACACAUUGUUGAGUGUCACGCCUGUAUGCUUUGGCAAAAUGACACAAAAAUUGACACACACAUGUAUCUCAAUAAGAUCUACAAAAAAGUCUAUGCGCGCGUAUCUGUCAAAUGUACGGUUAAAGGGUUAUUCCGCAUUUUUUGGCCAAUACGCACACAUUGGAAUUUCGCUAACUCCUCCGAAGGCUUUCGUUCCACCGGCACCACAUUUGCUCAGGCCAAUCUACACCCCAUGGCCAUUAAAAGUUAUUCAAAUUAUGAUGCUGCACCCCACGGUCUAGGUUCUAGGGGGCGCCAAAUAUAACC
Molecule: long non-coding RNA, 1344 nt
Filed under: Xyrichtys novacula (pearly razorfish)
Lineage: Eukaryota; Metazoa; Chordata; Actinopteri; Labriformes; Labridae
Source: RNAcentral